GAGAGUUAAACAGUACGUGAAAUUGUUGAAAGGGAAACGAUUGAAGCCAGUCGUACCUUCGGGUAAUCAGCCUUUCGGGUGCGAUUCUGUGGAGUGUGAGGAGCUUAAACACCUUCAUGUUUUGCAUAUUCGUACUCUUGGGUGUACUUGCCCGUGUGGUUGGUUAACAUCAAUUUUGGUGGUCAUAAAAUGACUGGGGGAAUGUAGCUUCGAUCUUGUAUUGAAGUGUUAUAGCCUUCGGUAGAUGUGAUGAUCGAGAUUGAGGAUUGCAACGGAUACCCUUCGGGGCUACCUGUCUGGUCUCUGAUCGUUGCUCUGGUGCCGAAAGCUUGCUUACGGUUAUCAAAGUCGAUGGUCAAUAGGUUAGAACGGGUUAAAUUCGUUAAGGAUGUUGACGUAAUGGCUUUAAACGA
Molecule: ribosomal RNA, 413 nt
Filed under: uncultured Rhizophagus
Lineage: Eukaryota; Fungi; Glomeromycota; Glomeromycetes; Glomerales; Glomeraceae
Description: partial 28S ribosomal RNA
Source: RNAcentral